UACAGAGGUCCCGAGCGUUGUUCGGAUUUAUUGGGCGUAAAGGGUGCGUAGGCGGCGGAGUAAGUUGGGUGUGAAAUCCCGGGGCUUAACCUCGGAAUUGCAUUCAAUACUGCUUCGCUCGAGUACUGGAGAGGAGGCUGGAAUUUACGGUGUAGCAGUGAAAUGCGUAGAUAUCGUAAGGAAGGCCGGUGGCGAAAGCGAGCCUCUGGACAGUUACUGACGCUGAUGCACGAAGGCCAGGGGAGCAAACGGGG
RNAcentral lists this ribosomal RNA (254 nucleotides) under uncultured bacterium. RNAcentral describes it as "partial 16S ribosomal RNA". It matches the Rfam family "Bacterial small subunit ribosomal RNA", at positions 524 to 777 of the family's 1533-position model. The record is from RNAcentral.